UGGAAGUAAAAAUCGUAACAAGGUCUCCGUUGGUGAACCAGCGGAGGGAUCAUUACCAGAGUGCCUUUUGGCUCUCCAACCCACUGUGAACAUACCUACGUUUCCCUCGGCGGGCUCAGCGCGUUGCGGUUCCGCCGCCUCGCGUCCGCCGGGGGCACCCAAACUCGAAUUUAUAUCGUGUAUCUCUGAGGGGCGAAAGCCCGUAAAACAAAUGAAUCAAAACUUUCAACAACGGAUCUCUUGGCUCUGGCAUCGAUGAAGAACGCAGCGAAAUGCGAUAAGUAAUGUGAAUUGCAGAAUUCAGUGAAUCAUCGAAUCUUUGAACGCACAUUGCGCCCGCCGGCACUCCGGCGGGCAUGCCUGUCCGAGCGUCAUUUCAACCCUCGGGCCCACCCCUCGCGGGGAACGGGCCCGGCGUUGGGGACCGGAGGCCGCCCCGGCGGCACCCGCCCCCUAAAUUCAGUGGCGGUCGCGCCGCAGCCUCCCCUGCGUAGUAGCACACCUCGCACCGGAGAGCGGCACGGCCACGCCUCGAAACCCCCCAAUUUUUCAGGUUGACCUCGGAUCAGGUAGGAAUACCCGCUGAACUUAAGCAUAUCAAUAGGCGGAGGA
RNAcentral lists this ribosomal RNA (612 nucleotides) under Hirsutella sp. B YA-2015. Its description in RNAcentral is "eukaryotic LSU rRNA". The stretch from base 221 to 374 matches the Rfam family "5.8S ribosomal RNA". The record is from RNAcentral. Lineage: Eukaryota; Fungi; Ascomycota; Sordariomycetes; Hypocreales; Ophiocordycipitaceae.